AGUGAACGCUGGCGGUAGGCCUAACACAUGCAAGUCGAACGGCAGCACAGGAGAGCUUGCUCUCUGGGUGGCGAGUGGCGGACGGGUGAGGAAUACAUCGGAAUCUACUCUGUCGUGGGGGAUAACGUAGGGAAACUUACGCUUAUACCGCAUACGACCUACGGGUGAAAGCAGGGGACCUUCGGGCCUUGCGCGAUUGAAUGAGCCGAUGUCUGGAUUAGCGAGUUGGCGGGGUAAAGGCCCACAAAGGCGACGAUCCGUAGCUGGUCUGAGGGGUUGGUCUACACAACUGGAACUGGGACACGGUCCAGCCUCCUACGGGGGGCAGCAGUGGGGAAUAUUGGACAAUGGGCGCAAGCCUGAUCCAGCCAUACCGCGUGGGUGAAGAAGGCCUUCGGGUUGUAAAGCCCUUUUGUUGGGAAAGAAAUCCAGCUGGCUAAUACCCGGUUGGGAUGACGGUACCCAAAGAAUAAGCACCGGCUAACUUCGUGCCAGCAGCCGCCGUAA
RNAcentral lists this ribosomal RNA (507 nucleotides) under uncultured bacterium. Its description in RNAcentral is "partial 16S ribosomal RNA". It matches the Rfam family "Bacterial small subunit ribosomal RNA", at positions 29 to 523 of the family's 1533-position model. The record is from RNAcentral.